CGGCGGACGGGUGAGUAACACGUGGGUAACCUACCUAUAAGACUGGGAUAACUUCGGGAAACCGGAGCUAAUACCGGAUAAUAUUUCGAACCGCAUGGUUCGAUAGUGAAAGAUGGCUUUGCUAUCACUUAUAGAUGGACCCGCGCCGUAUUAGCUAGUUGGUAAGGUAACGGCUUACCAAGGCGACGAUACGUAGCCGACCUGAGAGGGUGAUCGGCCACACUGGAACUGAGACACGGUCCAGACUCCUACGGGAGGCAGCAGAG
RNAcentral lists this ribosomal RNA (266 nucleotides) under uncultured Staphylococcus sp. RNAcentral's name for it is "partial 16S ribosomal RNA". It matches the Rfam family "Bacterial small subunit ribosomal RNA", at positions 96 to 354 of the family's 1533-position model. Lineage: Bacteria; Bacillati; Bacillota; Bacilli; Caryophanales; Staphylococcaceae. The record is from RNAcentral.